GUGAUCUUUACUCCUGGUGUCACACCCCUGAGGGCCUCCCUCCUACACUGAAUUAGGGCUGCCACUGUCCCUCAUACUUGCCUGUGACCCUGCCUUUGGAGGACACGUUUCUGCAGCUCAGCCUUGGCACCCCUUUGCACAAGCUGGUGGCAUUGGCCCCUCUGCUAUUAAGCCACAGUUGUUCAUCUGUUCAACAAAGUCUACCCGCUGUGCCGUCUGUGGCUCUCCAAGGGCUGGGGUGUUGAAGAAAACCUGCUGGCUGUGAAACAGAAGGGGAGUUGUUUUAUUUCAUGCCGGUACUUUUCAGGGACAAGACACUGAAGAAAGUCCUAUUACCUUCUUUUAGAGAACCAAAGAAGGAGAGGGGGUUCGCUUUAUUCCUGCCAAGGGACAGUCAGGUUAGUACUGUCAACCGUCAUGGUGGGAAAAUGGACAUGGACAACCCAGAGAGGCCAGCAGCCGACAGUCUGCAUAACUGAUAGGACCCGGCUGUGGACCCUAGGAGAGUCGAGGAAAGUCUUCCUUCUCCUACACUUUAUCCGGGGCAUCGAUUCCUUACCUUCUAUGCCUGGCUGUCUCCUCUACCACAUGCUUCAUCCUCAGGAUGAGAACUGCUUUAUGAAAACCAGAAGGCUGGAAAGUCUGGAAGACACUUGGAGUGGCCCCUCUUCUUCGUCAUGUAAAUGUAAAGGCUCAAAGGUGCUCCCUGCCCUGGGGAAGGAGUGCAGCAAGACCCUUUGUGGGAGACAAAGGCCUCUCCAUCACCCUUUACAUGCAGAGUUGAUCUUGUAGAGGAAGAAGAACUAUUCCUCUAUCCUCUAGGUUCUUCUGGCUGGCCCAAGAAUUAAACUGAGGGG
Molecule: long non-coding RNA, 857 nt
Filed under: Equus caballus (horse)
Lineage: Eukaryota; Metazoa; Chordata; Mammalia; Perissodactyla; Equidae
Description: lncRNA (ENSECAG00000057386.1)
Source: RNAcentral